UGCCCUGCCUCGGCGAGCAUCUGCUCCUCCUCGUCCUCCGGGGACGCGGGUUCCGGCUCUGGCUCGGGGGCCGGUUCGGGCUCGGGUGUGGGGCGGC
This 97-nucleotide transfer RNA is filed under the name Mycobacteroides salmoniphilum. Its description in RNAcentral is "tRNA-Arg". The record is from RNAcentral. Lineage: Bacteria; Bacillati; Actinomycetota; Actinomycetes; Mycobacteriales; Mycobacteriaceae.